Long non-coding RNA from Pongo pygmaeus (Bornean orangutan), 1068 nucleotides. RefSeq lists it as uncharacterized. The record is from RefSeq and is a predicted model, not a curated record. NCBI's taxonomy places the organism in Eukaryota, Metazoa, Chordata, Mammalia, Primates, Hominidae. The transcript is spliced from 4 exons.
GUUCUUAGGAGAGUUGGACACAUUCAAAACACAAUAUGUGAUUAAGAAGAUUAAAGAUUAAUACUUAUUGAUGGAUUACUGUGUGCCAAACUUCCAACCGAAUCCUGACAAAUCCAUAAGAUGUGGAAACCACAGUUCACUGAGGUUGACAUUUCCGGGUUCAUACAACAAGGAUGGGCUAUGUGAAGAUUGUGCCUGCUUCCCCUUUGCCUUCCACCAUGAUUUCAAGUUUCCUGAGACCUUCCCAGCAGCAGAAGCCUAUACAGCCUGCAGAACUUUCUGGAGACUGGCAAGUCCAAGAUCAAGGUCCUGAUUGAUUUAGUGUCUGGUGAAGACACUCUCUGCUUCAAGAUGGCACCUCUUACUGCAUCUUCACAUGGUAGAAGAGGCAAUUAAGGGGAACAGCACUGUGUCCUCACAUGGCAAAAGAUAAGGAAGGGUCAGGAAGCUCUCCAAAACUUUUUUUAGCCCUCAUGAUUUCAUCACUUUUUCAAAGGCCUCACCUCUUCACAUUAUGACCUUGGAGUUUAAGUUUCAGCAUUUAAAAGCAAUCUGCAUCUUUCCAUUAGGUCAGAAAUAUUACAAUUGUUUUCCACCAGCAGGCCAGGAAACUAGCAAGGUCUUCAUACAUGCAAGGCCUUCUACUUCACCCUGGAGUAUAGCCAUUCUUGACAGGCUUUAUGUUGGCCAAAAAUAACAUACUAUCCAGUGGGAAGAUAAGUACAACAACUUCCUCAUGACCAGCUGUUCACUUAUGCAACUGCAGCGCAAGCGCAGCCUCCUAUCAAUGUGAUAAAAGAAUAAACUAGGGACAAAUUUUGGUAUUCACAUAUUACCACAGAUGUCUAUCUCCUCUAUCUUAUGUUGACAUCCGUGAUGGCCUUUCUGAAUAACUCAGGGCAUCAGAGGGUUGCUCUCUCCCGCAAGCCAAGAUAACGUUGGCAAACACAUCUGUAUAAUGUGUGCACUGGGCACAUUUCCUUGUUGAAUUAUUCAAUUAAAUCUGAUAAUGAGAGCACAUUGACAUAGUUAAACACUCAGGUGAAUAAAAGAUUCACUUUGAAGUGC